GUACCUUUUGGUUCGGAACAACUGAGGGAAACUUCAGCUAAUACCGGAUAAGCCCUUACGGGGAAAGAUUUAUCGCCGAAAGAUCGGCCCGCGUCUGAUUAGCUAGUUGGUAGGGUAAUGGCCUACCAAGGCGACGAUCAGUAGCUGGUCUGAGAGGAUGAUCAGCCACAUUGGGACUGAGACACGGCCCAAACUCCUACGGGAGGCAGCAGUGGGGAAUAUUGGACAAUGGGGGCAACCCUGAUCCAGCCAUGCCGCGUGAGUGAUGAAGGCCCUAGGGUUGUAAAGCUCUUUUGUGCGGGAAGAUAAUGACGGUACCGCAAGAAUAAGCCCCGGCUAACUUCGUGCCAGCAGCCGCGGUAAUACGAAGGGGGCUAGCGUUGCUCGGAAUCACUGGGCGUAAAGGGUGCGUAGGCGGGUCUUUAAGUCAGGGGUGAAAUCCUGGAGCUCAACUCCAGAACUGCCUUUGAUACUGAGGAUCUUGAGUUCGGGAGAGGUGAGUGGAACUGCGAGUGUAGAGGUGAAAU
RNAcentral lists this ribosomal RNA (527 nucleotides) under Bradyrhizobium sp. UFPI B3-4. RNAcentral describes it as "bacterial SSU rRNA". It matches the Rfam family "Bacterial small subunit ribosomal RNA", at positions 126 to 687 of the family's 1533-position model. The record is from RNAcentral. Lineage: Bacteria; Pseudomonadati; Pseudomonadota; Alphaproteobacteria; Hyphomicrobiales; Nitrobacteraceae.